Molecule: ribosomal RNA, 425 nt
Filed under: uncultured bacterium
Lineage: Bacteria
Description: partial 16S ribosomal RNA
Rfam family: Bacterial small subunit ribosomal RNA
Source: RNAcentral
GUGGGGAAUCUUGCGCAAUGGGGGAAACCCUGAUCUAGCCAUGCCGCGUGAGCGAUGAAGGCCUUAGGGUUGUAAAGCUCUUUCAGCUGGGAAGAUAAUGACGGUACCAGCAGAAGAAGCCCCGGCUAACUCCGUGCCAGCAGCCGCGGUAAUACGGAGGGGGCUAGCGUUGUUCGGAAUUACUGGGCGUAAAGCGCACGUAGGCGGAUCAGAAAGUCAGAGGUGAAAUCCCAGGGCUCAACCUUGGAACUGCCUUUGAAACUCCUGGUCUUGAGGUCGAGAGAGGUGAGUGGAAUUCCGAGUGUAGAGGUGAAAUUCGUAGAUAUUCGGAGGAACACCAGUGGCGAAGGCGGCUCACUGGCUCGAUACUGACGCUGAGGUGCGAAAGCGUGGGGAGCAAACAGGAUUAGAAACCCUUGUAGUCC